CAGGCCUAACACAUGCAAGUCGAACGGAAAGGCCCUGCUUUUGUGGGGUGCUCGAGUGGCGAACGGGUGAGUAACACGUGAGUAACCUGCCCUUGACUUUGGGAUAACUUCAGGAAACUGGGGCUAAUACCGGAUAGGAGCUCCUGCUGCAUGGUGGGGGUUGGAAAGUUUCGGCGGUUGGGGAUGGACUCGCGGCUUAUCAGCUUGUUGGUGGGGUAGUGGCUUACCAAGGCUUUGACGGGUAGCCGGCCUGAGAGGGUGACCGGCCACAUUGGGACUGAGAUACGGCCCAGACUCCUACGGGAGGCAGCAGUGGGGAAUAUUGCACAAUGGGCGGAAGCCUGAUGCAGCAACGCCGCGUGCGGGAUGACGGCCUUCGGGUUGUAAACCGCUUUCGCCUGUGACGAAGCGUGAGUGACGGUAAUGGGUAAAGAAGCACCGGCUAACUACGUGCCAGCAGCCGCGGUGAUACGUAGGGUGCGAGCGUUGUCCGGAUUUAUUGGGCGUAAAGGGCUCGUAGGUGGUUGAUCGCGUCGGAAGUGUAAUCUUGGGGCUUAACCCUGAGCGUGCUUUCGAUACGGGUUGACUUGAGGAAGGUAGGGGAGAAUGGAAUUCCUGGUGGAGCGGUGGAAUGCGCAGAUAUCAGGAGGAACACCAGUGGCGAAGGCGGUUCUCUGGGCCUUUCCUGACGCUGAGGAGCGAAAGCGUGCGGAGCGAACAGGCUUAGAUACCCUGGUAGUCCACGCUGUA
This 750-nucleotide ribosomal RNA is filed under the name uncultured bacterium. RNAcentral describes it as "bacterial SSU rRNA". It matches the Rfam family "Bacterial small subunit ribosomal RNA", at positions 43 to 804 of the family's 1533-position model. The record is from RNAcentral.